GAUGAACGCUGGCGGCGUGCCUAAUACAUGCCAGUCGAGCGAACAGACGAGGAGCUUGCUCCUUUGACGUUAGCGGCGGACGGGUGAGUAACACGUGGGUAACCUACCUAUAAGACUGGGAUAACUUCGGGAAACCGGAGCUAAUACCGGAUAAUAUUUCGAACCGCAUGGUUCGAUAGUGAAAGAUGGCUCUGCUAUCACUUAUAGAUGGACCUGCGCCGUAUUAGCUAGUUGGUAAGGUAACGGCUUACCAAGGCAACGAUACGUAGCCGACCUGAGAGGGUGAUCGGCCACACUGGAACUGAGACACGGUCCAGACUCCUACGGGAGGCAGCAGUAGGGAAUCUUCCGCAAUGGGCGAAAGCCUGACGGAGCAACGCCGCGUGAGUGAUGAAGGUCUUCGGAUCGUAAAACUCUGUUAUUAGGGAAGAACAAACGUGUAAGUAACUGUGCACGUCCUGACGGUACCUAAUCAGAAAGCCACGGCUAACUACGUG
Molecule: ribosomal RNA, 497 nt
Filed under: uncultured bacterium
Lineage: Bacteria
Description: partial 16S ribosomal RNA
Rfam family: Bacterial small subunit ribosomal RNA
Source: RNAcentral